RNAcentral lists this transfer RNA (68 nucleotides) under Melanostigma atlanticum. Its description in RNAcentral is "tRNA-His". It matches the Rfam family "tRNA". From Rfam's summary of the family: Transfer RNA (tRNA) molecules are approximately 80 nucleotides in length. Their secondary structure includes four short double-helical elements and three loops (D, anti-codon, and T loops). Lineage: Eukaryota; Metazoa; Chordata; Actinopteri; Perciformes; Zoarcidae. The record is from RNAcentral.
GUAGAUAUAGUUUACCAAAACAUUAGAUUGUGAUUCUAAAGACAGGGGUUAAAGCCCCCUUAUCCACC